This 8042-nucleotide long non-coding RNA is filed under the name Triticum aestivum (bread wheat). RNAcentral describes it as "long non-coding RNA (TAES_LNC026900)". The record is from RNAcentral. Lineage: Eukaryota; Viridiplantae; Streptophyta; Magnoliopsida; Poales; Poaceae.
ACGUAUUACGGAACGAGUAAAGAGACUUGCCGGUAACGAGAUUGAACUAGGUAUUGGAUACCGACGAUCAAAUCUCGGGCAAGUAACAUACCGAUGACAAAGGGAACAACGUAUGUUGUUGUGCGGUUUGACCGAUAAAGAUCUUCGUAGAAUAUGUAGGAACCAAUAUGGGCAUCCAGGUCCUGCUAUUGGUUAUUGACCGGAGACGUGUCUCGGUCAUGUCUACAUUGUUCUCGAACCGUAGGGUCCGCACGCUUAAGGUUUCGAUGACAAUUAUAUUAUGAGUUUAUGAGUUUUGAUGUACCGAAGGAGUUCGGAGUCCCGGAUGAGAUCGGGGACAUGACGAGGAGUCUCGAAAUGGUCGAGACGUAAAGAUCGACAUAUUGGACGACUAUAUUCGGAGUUCAGAAAGGUUCCGAGUGAUUCGGGUAUUUUUCGGAGUACCGGAGAGUUACGGGAAUUCGUAUUGGGCCUCAUUGGGCCAUACGGGAAAAGAGAGAGAGGGCCUAAAGGGUGGCCGCACCCCUCCCCUUUGGCUAGUCCGAAUUGGACUAGGGAGGGGGGGCGCCCCCUUCCUUCCUUCUCCUUCUCUCUUCCCUUUCCUUCUCUUCUACUCCUACUAUAUGGAAGGGUUACUAGUUGGACUAGGAAAGGGGGAAUCCUACUCCCGGUGGGAGUAGGACUCCCCUAGGGCGCGCCAUAGAGAGAGGGCCGGCCCUCCCCCUCCUCCACUCCUUUAUAUACGGGGGUAGGGGCACCCCAUAGACACACAAGUUGAUCAUUGAUCGUUCCUUAGCCGUGUGCGGUGCCCCCCUCCACGAUAUUACACCUCGAUCAUAUUGUAGCGGUGCUUAGGCGAAGCCCUGCGACAGGAGAACAUCAAGAUCGUCACCGUGCCGUCGUGCUGACGGAACUCCCCCUCGGAGCCUCUAUUGGAUUGGAGAUCGAGGGUGCGUCAUCAAGCUGUACGCGUGUCAAGAACUCGGAGGUGCCGGAGUAACGGUGCUUGGAUCGGUCGGACCGGGAGGACGUACGACGACUUCCUCUACGUUGCGUCAACGCUUCCGCUUCGGUCUACGAGGGUACGUAGACAACACUCUCCCCUCGUUGCUAUAUCAUCACCAUGAUCUUGUGUGUGCGUAGGAAAUUUUUUGAAAUUACUACGUUCCCCAGCAGUGGCAUCCGAGCCUAGGAUUUUAUGGUUUGAUGUUAUUUGCACGAGUAGAACACAAGUGAGUUGUGGGCGAUAUAAGUCAUACUGCUUACCAGCAUGUCAUACUUUGGUUCAGCGGUAUUGUUGGAUGAAGCGGCCCGGACCGACAUUACGCGUACGCUUACGCGAGACUGGUUUUACCGCCGUGCUUUGCACACAGGUGACUAGCGGGUGUCUGUUUCUCCAACUUUAGUUGAACCGAGUGUGGCUACGCCCGGUCCUUGCGAAGGUUAAAACAGCAUCAACUUGACAAACUAUCGUUGUGGUUUUGAUGCGUAGGUGAGAUUGGUUCUUGCUUAAGCCCGUAGCAGCCACGUAAAAUUUGCAACAACAAAGUAGAGGACGUCUAACUUGUUUUUGCAGGGCAUGUUGUGAUGUGAUAUGGUCAAGACGUGAUGCUAUAUUUUAUUGUAUGAGAUGAUCAUGUUUUGUAACCGAAGUUAUCGGCAACUGGCAGGAGCCAUAUGGUUGUCGCUUUAUUGUAUGAAAUGCAAACGCCCUGUAAUUGUUUUACUUUAUCACUAAGCGGUAGCGAUAGUCGUAGUUGCAAUAGAUGGCGUAAUGACAACGAUGCUACGAUGGAGAUCAAGGUGUCGCGCCGGUGACGAUGGUGAUCACGACGGUGCUUCGAAGAUGGAGAUCACAAGCACAAGAUGAUGAUGGCCAUAUCAUAUCACUUAUAUUGAUUGCAUGUGAUGUUUAUCCUUUAUGCAUCUUAUCUUGCUUUGAUUGACGGUAGCAUUUUAAGAUGAUCUCUCACUAAAAUUAUCAAGAAGUGUUCUCCCUGAGUAUGCACCGUUGCCAAAGUUCGUCGUGCCGAGACACCACGUGAUGAUCGGGUGUGAUAAGCUCUACGUCUAUCUACAACGGGUGCAAGCCAGUUUUGCACACGCGGAAUACUCAGGUUAUACUUGACGAGCCUAGCAUAUGCAGAUAUGGCCUCGGAACACGGAGACCGAAAGGUCGAGCGUGAAUCAUAUAGUAGAUAUGAUCAACAUAGUGAUGUUCACCAUUGAAAACUACUCCAUCUCACGUGAUGAUCGGUCAUGGUUUAGUUGAUUUGGAUCACGUAAUCACUUAGAUGACUAGAGAGAUGUCUGUCUAAGUGGGAGUUCGUAAGUAAUAUGAUUAAUUGAACUUUAAUUUAUCAUGAACUUAGUCCUGGUAGUAUUUUGCAAAUUAUGUUGUAAGAUCAAUAAGCUUGCGUUGUUGCUUUCAUAUGUUUAUUUUGAUGUGUUCCUAGAGAAAAUUGUGUUGAAAAAUGUUAGUAGCAAUGAUGCGGAUUUGAUCCGUGAUCUGAGGUUUAUCCUCAUUGCUGCACAGAAGAAUUAUGUCCUUGAUGCACCGCUAGGUGACAGACCUAUUGCAGGAGCAGAUGCAGACGUUAUGAACGUUUGGCUAGCUCAAUAUGAUGACUACUUGAUAGUUUAGUGCACCAUGCGUAACGGCUUAGAAUCGGGACCUCAAAGACGUUUUGAACGUCAUGGACCAUAUAAGAUGUUCCAGGAGUUGAAGUUAAUAUUUCAAGCAAAUACCCGAGUUGAGAGAUAUGAAGUCUCCAACAAGUUCUAUAGCUAAAAGAUGGAGGAGAAUCGCUCAACUAGUGAGCAUGUGCUCAGAUUGUCUGGGUACUACAAUCGCUUGAAUCAAGUGGGAGUUAAUCUUCUAGAUAAGAUAGUGAUUGACAGAAUUCUCUAGUCACCAUCACCAAGUUAGUAGAACUUCGUGAUGAACUAUAGUAUGCAAGGGAUGAUGAAAAUGAUUCCCGAGCUCUUCGUGAUGUUGAAAUCGACGAAGGUAGAAAUCAAGAAAGAGCAUCAAGUGUUGAUGAUUGACAAGAUCACUAGUUUCAAGAAAAGGGCAAAGGGAAAGAAAGGGGAACUUCAAGUAGAUUGACAAGCAAGUUGUCACUCCCACGAAGAAGCCCAAAGCUGAACCAAAGCCUGAAACUGAGUGCUUACACUGCAAAGGAAAUGGUCACUGGAAGCGGAACUGCCCUAAAUAUUUGGUGGAUAAGAAGGAUGGCAAAGUGAAAAAGGGUAUAUUUGAUAUACAGAUGUUUGAUGUGUGCUUUACUAGUGUUUAUAGCAACCCCUCGGUAUUUGGUACUGGUUCAGUUGCUAAGAGUAGUAACUCGAAACGGGAGUUGCAGAAUAAACAGAAACUAGUUAAGGGUGAAGUGAUGAUGUGUGUUGAAAGUAGUUUCAAGAUUGAAAUGAUCAUCAUCGCACACUCCCUAUACUUUCGGGAUUAGUGUUGAACCUAAAUAAGUGUUAUUUGGUGUUUGCGUUGAGCAUGAAUAUGAUUUGAUCAUGUUUAUUGCAAUACGGUUAUUCAUUUAAGUAAGAGAAUAAACUGUUGUUCUGUUUACAUGAAUAAAACCUUAUAUGGUUACACACCCAAUGAAAAUGGUUCAUUGGAUCUUGAUCAUAGUGAUACACAUAUUCAUAAUAUUGAAACCAAAAGAUGCAAAGUUAAUAAUGAUAGUGCAACUUAUUUGUGGCACUGCCGUUUAGGUCAUAUCGGUGUAAAGCGCAUGAAGAAACUCCAUGCUGAUGGGAUUUUGGAAUCACUUGAUUAUGAAUCACUUGAUGCUUGCGAACCAUGCCUCAUGGGCAAGAUGACUAAGACUCCGUUCUCCGGAACAAUGGAGCGAGCAACAGAUUUGUUGGAAAUCAUACAUACUGAUGUAUGUCGUCCGAUGAAUAUUAAGGCUCGCGACAAGUAUCAUUAUUUUCUGACCUUCACAGUUGAUUUGAAGCAGAUAUGAGUAUAUCUACUUGAUGAAACACAAGUCUUAAACAUUUAAAAAGUUCAAAGAAUUUCAGAGUGAAGUAGAGAAUCAUCGUAACAAGAAAAUAAAAGUUUCUACGAUAUGAUCGCAGAAGUAAAAUAUUUGAGUUACGAGUUUGGUCUUCAAUUAAAACAAUGUGUAAUAGUUUCACAAAUUCAUGCCACCUGGAACACCACAUCAUAAUGGUGUUUCCGAACGUCAUAACCGUACUUUAUUGGAUAUAGUACAAUCCAUGAUGUUUCUUACCGAUUUACCAAUAUCGUUUUGGGAUCAUGCAUUAGAGACAGCUGCAUUCACGUUAAAUAGGGCACCAUCUAAAUCCGUUGAGACGACACUAUAUGAACUGUGGUUUAGCAAGAAACCAAAGUUGUCGUUUCUUAAAGUUUGGGGCUGCGAUGCUUAUGUGAAAAAGUUUCAUCCUGAUAAGCUCAAACCCAAAUCGGAGAAGUGCGUCUUCAUAGAAUACCCAAAGGAAAUUGUUGGGUACACCUUCUAUCACAGAUCCGAAGGCAAAACAUUCAUUGCUAAUAAUGGAUCCUUUCUAGAGAAGGAGUUUCUCUCGAAAGAAGUGAGUGGGAGGAAAGUAGAACUUGAUGAGAUAAUUGUACCUUCUCCCUUAUUGGAAAGUAGUUCAUCACAGAAAUCUGUUCCUGUGACUACUACACCAAUUAGUGAGGAAGCUAAUGAUGAUGAUCAUGUAACUUCAGAUCAAGUUACUACCGAAUAUCAUAGCUAAACCAGAGUGAGAUCCGCACCAGAGUGGUACGGUAAUCCUGUUCUGGAAGUCAUGUUACUAGACCAUGAUAAACCUAUGAACUAUGAGGAAGCGAUGAUGAGCCCAGAUUCCGCGAAAUGGCUUGAGGCCGUGAAAUCUGAGAUUGGAUCCAUGUAUGAAAACAAAGUGUGGACUUUGGUGGAGUUGCCCGUUGAUCGGCAAGCCAUAUUGUAUAAAUGGAUCUUUAAGAGGAAGACGGACGUUGAUAGUAGUGUUACUAUCUACAAAGCUCGACUUGUCGCAGAAGAGUUUUCGACAAGUUCAAGGUGUUGACUACAAUGAGAUUUUCUCAACUGUAGCAAUGCUUAAGUCUGUCCGAAUCAUGUUAGCAAUUGCCACAUUUUAUGAAAUCUGGCAAAUGGAUGUCAAAACUGCAUUCCUUAAUGGUUUUCUUAAAGAAGAGUUGUAUAUGAUGCAACCAGAAGGUUUUGUCAAUCCUAAAGGUGUUAACAAAAUGUGCAAGCUCCAGCGAUCCAUCUAUGGACUGGUGCAAGCAUCUCAGAGUUGGAAUAUACGUUUUGAUAUGUUGAUCAAAGCAUAUAGUUUUGUACAGACUUAUGAUGAAGCCUGUAUUUACAAGAAAGUGAGUGGGAGCACUACAACAUUUCUGAUAAGUAUAUGUGAAUAACAUAUUGUUGAUCGGAAAUAAUGUAGAAUUAUUCUGCAAAGCAUGAAAGGAUACUUGAAUAAGAGUUUUUCAAAGAAAGACCUCGGUGAAGCUACUUACACAUUGAGCAUCAAGAUCUAUAUAGAUAGAUCAAGACGCUUGAUAAGAAUUUUCAAUGAAUACAUACCUUGAUAAAUUUUUGAAAUAGUUCAAAAUGGAACAGUCAAAGAAGGAGUUCUUGCCUGUGUUGCAAGGUGUGAAAUUGAGUAAGACUCAAGACCCGACCAUGGCAGAAAAUAGAAAGAGAAUGAAAAGUCAUUCCCUAUGCCUCAGUCAUAGGUUCUAUAAAGUAUGCUAUGCUGUGAACCAGACCUAUGGUAUACCUUGCUCUGAAUUUGGCAAGGGAGUACAAUAGUGAUCUAGGAGUAGAUCACUGAACAUUGGUCAAGAAUAUCCUUAGUAAGGACUAAGGAGAUGUUUCUCGAUUAUGGAGGUGAUAAAAGAGUUUGUUGUAAAAGUUACAUCAGUGCAAACUUUUACACUGAUCCAGAUGACUCUAAGUCUCAACCUGGAUACAUAUUGAAAGUGGGAGCAAUUAGCUAGAGUAGCUCCGUGCAGAGCAUUGUGGACAUAAAAUAUUUGCAAAAUACAUACGGCUCUGAAUGUGACAGACCCAUUGACUAAGCUUCUCUCACGAGCAAAACAUGAUCACACCUUAGUACUCUUUGGGUGUUAAUCACAUAGCGAUGUGAACUAGAUUAUUGACUCUAGUAAACCCUUUGGAUGUUGGUCACAUGAUAAUGUGAACUAUGGGUGUUAAUCAUAUACAGAUAUGAAUAUUGGUGUUAAAUCACAUGGCGAUGUGAACUAGAUUAUUGACUCUAGUGCAAGUGGGAGACUGAAGGAAAUAUGCCCUAGAGGCAAUAAUAAAGUUAUUAUUUAUUUCCUUAUUUCAUGAUAAAUGUUUAUUAUUCAUGCUAGAAUUGUAUUAACCGGAAACAUAAUACAUGUGUGAAUACAUAGACAAAACUAUAGUCACUAGUAUGCCUCUACUUGACUAGCUCAUUAAUCAAAGAUGGUUAUGUUUCCCAAUCAUAGACAUGUGUUGUCAUUUGAUUAGUGGGAUCACAUCAUUAGAAGAAUGAUGUGAUUGACAUGACCCAUUCUGUUAGCCUAGCACUUGAUCGUUUAGUAUACUGCUAUUGCUUUCUUCAUGACUUAUACAAAGUUCCUGCAACUAUGAGAUUGUGCAACUCCCGUUUACCGGAAGAACACUUUGUGUGCUACCAAACGUCACAACGUAACUGGGUGAUUAUAAAGGUGCUCUACAGGUGUUUCCGAAGGUACAUGUUGAGUUGGCAUAAUUCGAGAUUAGGAUUUGUCACUCCGAUUGUCGGAGAGGUAUCUCUGGGCCCUCUCGGUAGUACUCAUCACCUAAGCCUUGCAAGCAUGUAACUAAUGAGUUAGUUAUGAGAUGACGUAUUACGGAACGAGUAAAGAGACUUGCCGGUAACGAGAUUGAACUAGGUAUUGGAUACCGACGAUCAAAUCUCGGGCAAGUAGCAUACCGAUGACAAAGGGAACAACGUAUGUUGUUGUGCGGUUUGACCGAUAAAGAUCUUCGUAGAAUAUGUAGGAACCAAUAUGGGCAUCCAGGUCCCGCUAUUGGUUAUUGACCGGAGACGUGUCUCGGUCAUGUCUACAUUGUUCUCGAACCGUAGGGUCCGCACGCUUAAGGUUUCGAUGACAGUUAUAUUAUGAGUUUAUGAGUUUUGAUGUACCGAAGGAGUUCGGAGUCCCGGAUGAGAUCGGGGACAUGACAAGGAGUCUCGAAAUGGUCGAGACGUAAAGAUCGAUAUAUUGGACGACUAUAUUCGGAGUUCGGAAAGGUUCCGAGUGAUUCGGGUAUUUUUCGGAGUACCGGAGAGUUACGGGAAUUCGUAUUGGGCCUCAUUGAGCCAUACGGGAAAAGAGAGAGAGGGCCUAAAGGGUGGCCGCACCCCUCCCCUUUGGCUAGUCCGAAUUGGACUAGGGAGGGGGGGCGCCCCCUUCCUUCCUUCUCCUUCUCUCUUCCCUUUCCUUCUCUUCUACUCCUACUAUAUGGAAGGGUUACUAGUUGGACUAGGAAAGGGGGAAUUCUACUCCCGGUGGGAGUAGGACUCCCCUAGGGCGCGCCAUAGAGAGAGGGCCGGCCCUCCCCCUCCUCCACUCCUUUAUAUACGGGGGUAGGGGCACCCCAUAGACACACAAGUUGAUCAUUGAUCGUUCCUUAGCCGUGUGCGGUGCCCCCCUCCACGAUAUUACACCUCGAUCAUAUUGUAGCGGUGCUUAGGCGAAGCCCUGCGACAGGAGAACAUCAAGAUCGUCACCACGCCGUCGUGCUGACGGAACUCCCCCUCGGAGCCUCUACUGGAUUGGAGAUCGAGGGUGCGUCAUCGAGCUGUACGCGUGUCAAGAACUCGGAGGUGCCGGAGUAACGGUGCUUGGAUCGGUCGGAUCGGGAGGACGUACGACUACUUCCUCUACGUUGCGUCAACGCUUCCGCUUCGGUCUACGAGGGUACGUAGACAACACUCUCCCCUCGUUGCUAUAUCAUCACCAUGAUCUUGCGUGUGCGUAGGAAAUUUUUUGAAAUUACUACGUUCCUCAACAA